This 766-nucleotide long non-coding RNA is filed under the name Homo sapiens (human). Its description in RNAcentral is "HSALNT0347719". Lineage: Eukaryota; Metazoa; Chordata; Mammalia; Primates; Hominidae. The record is from RNAcentral.
GGGCGCUGCAGUUCCCGGGACGGGCCCGCAAUCGACGGUCCGGGCGCCACCCACUCCCCGCUGCCAGCUCGCGCCCCAGCUCCAGCCCGGGGACCUCCGGGGCGCGGGAGCGGAAAAGCAGCCAUGAGACCAAGAGCACUCGAUGGGCACCAAACGUGUCUCAGCAGCACUCUGCGCGGGCCACCCCGCCUUCGCCCGGGAAAGCUCAUUCAAAUACAAAGUGGACACCAGCUCGCCCACCCUCUCAGUCCCCGCAGGCCGCAGAGAAGCUAGGAGAUAAGUCCAAAGAAGCAUCCUUUCUUUCUGCUGCAUUUAUAAUGGGACUCUUCUGCCCCAGGAAAAUGCCACUUCGCUUCACGAGGAGGCAAUUUGUGAAUGGUGGGAAGAAUAAAUAAAAUAACGGGGCUCUGUUUUCUGAUAAACCAAUUUCUCCCCCUAAAAACUCUGUGUACUGAUAUUUUAGAACUUUCACUUUAAUAAAAUGCUUGCCUAACUUUUAAUAUAUAUAUUUUCUUCUCCCUUUCUCUCCAAAUGUGUUACGUUUUCUGCACCACUCUUUUUGUUCACCCAAAUUUAUGCUGGAAUUUUCAUUUUAUGUUCUUAAAUCAUUUACCCUAAUAUGGUUUUUAUGUGAAACCAGGAAUAUAACGUUUUUUGCAUCUGCGAACCUAAGAAAUCAAAUUAAUUUCAUAGACUUUCUUUCUUUCUCAUAUAAGGAUUUACAGAGGAAUUUUCUUUAUUCAUCAGAGAGAAAAGUUAACAAAAG